UUAAACUCCAAUUAUCCACUGUUGUAGCUGUCUUAAAAGAUAUUCUUUCUUGUCUGACUUUCCUUUCCUGUAUGACUUCCUCACCCACCUUCUAAUGUUCAUAGAUUCAGGAAUAAUAAACCACCUUCAAUCAAAUCCUUGUCUCAAGGUAUGCUUCUGAAGAAUUUGAAACGAGACCCCCGCAUGGUGAUUGGAAAAGGUGUCCAGAAUUAUCACUGGUACAGGAGCAUAUUUAUGUUAAUUUCUUAUUUUGGAUAUUCCUGAACAUUGAAGAUUUUGAAGCUAGUACAAAUUUGAACCACACACUUGUUCAUGAAACAGGCUCAGAGUACAAAUUCUUCAGGAACUCAAGCAGAGAUAGGCUAUGAAAUGAUGAUGGCCAACCAUGGAUAGAAGCUAGUGGGGCUUUCUACUCUGCUUAAACUGUUCCCAUUCCAAUGUGCAAAACACUGCUCAAGAGUUUCCUUGUUGGAGACUGACAGACAGAAAAGAAGAAGAAUGCAUUGUGUUCUCAGAGAAACCCAGAAAAGAAAAGAUUGGAGCUGCUGAGCUGAGAGCACUGAGAACUGACAGCACUCAAUCUUUUAUGUCCUUUUGGAGGUACAGCAUGGGAGAAAUGGGGUCACCUGGUAGUAGGACUCCAGUUGCUCCCAAUGCGACUUCCUGCCUUGGUGAAGUCUACUGGAAGGAGUGUUGACUCUGUUAGAGACGUACAAGUAGAGAGCUCCAGCAAGCUGGAAAUAGGAGUCUGUAGUCCAGCAGAGAAGUCAGGCUUGAAGAUACAAAUUGAGGAGUCAUCAAAGUAUGGAUGACAUUGGAAGAGAAGGAGCAAGAUGACAUGACUUCCAGAGUGGGUGCAGGUGGGCUGCUUCCCAUCAUGGUAAGACUCUCCUGUUCUUAUCUUCCAAUCUCUCCUCAACCAACUCCAGUUCACAUCUAUAACCCCACCACGCUACUGAAUCUGCCUUCGUUAAGAUCACCGUUCUUUCCCUGAAACACAAAGUGAAUGGAUUUAGUAAAGAAAUAGUUAGGAGGCAGGAGAAUUGAGAAGAAUUAGAGCAAUGUCACAGUGAUAAGACUCUAGCAGAGAAAGAUCAAUGCCUCUAACAUAUUAAGAACUGAAAAGUGUCAAGGAGGGUUUAUACCAUAUUUGAGAGCAAAAUUCUAAGAAACAUUGAGGCUUGGCUCUGACUUCUCAGAUCCCAGCUGCUUGCCUGUGUUUCUGAUCACCAUCUGCUCCCAGAUUCCCAGGGCCAAGCUCUACCACAGACCCUUGUGUCUUCAAGUUGGGCCCCCCAGUGCUAUCCUGGCAUGCCACCUGCUAUCUGUUGCCAGACCUUUUCAGAUACUAUAUUCUGCCUGCUAUACUGAACCUCUCUUCUGUAUCUCAAAUACAUACAUUUCCUUUCCUAUCUUCUCUUGAGCAGUUCUAGUCCUAAUUUCUGGAUUCUUUAGUCUAUAUAUCUUAUAAUAACUAAUAAGGUUCUGGUCAGCCAUGCCUUUCGAUGGGACACUUACUAACCAACCCACUACUCUGUUACAGUAUUUUUUAGGGUCUAGAAGAUGACAAGCACUGGAUUUUGAAUUCAACCUCAAAAGGUCCUUGGCUCAUUUUAUAUACUUUGUGAUUGAGCCAGGUCAAACCCCAAUAAAUGCUGUGCCCCUCUAAGUAAGCACAUGCUCUUGUAUAUUUACCAGAAGCAAUUGAAGCAGUGAAGGAAGAAGUGAUAGAAGUCACUGAAAACUUCACUAUAUUAAAAGUCAUUUUUAUAUCUGGAACUAGGAAAGGCUGGACUAAAGUUCUGCCAACAGCGAGGCUCACUCCAUUAGUUAUAACUCUUCUUCCUACUGCUUGGCAAAUCAAGAUAAAAGAGUCCUUCUGGGGGAGCCACUUUUAACUCCUCUGGGGGAGUUGAAAAGCAAAUAUCAUGUUAAUCUUGAAAACCAGUUUCUCUAUUUCAUUAUUUUUGAACCUACAAUUCAAUAUAUAUUCAUUGAAUUACAGAGUCUAUUAUUUAUUUGAAGCUUGUUAUGGGUUAAAUUGUGUCCUUCCAAAAUUCUUAUGUUGAAAUCCUAAUCCCAAGUAUCCCAUAAUGGGACCAAGUACCUCAGAAUGGGAAAUAGAGUCAUUGCAGAUGUAAUUAAUUAAGAGAUGUAAUUAAUUAAGAUACUGGAGUAAGAUGGGUCCCUAAUCCAGUAUGACUGGUGUCCUUCUGAAAAAGCAAAAUGUGGACAUAGAUACACACACAGAGAAAUGUCAUUUGAAGAGAGAGGGCAGAGAUGUAAAAGCCGAGGAACAUUAAAUAUUGCCAGCAAACUGCCAGGAGAGAGGUUUGGAACAGAUUUUCCUGCACAGCCCUCAGCAGGAACCAAUCCCACUGACAUCUUGAUUUUGGGUUUCCAGUCUCCAGAACUGUGACACAAUAAGUUUCUGUUGUUUAAGCAACCCAGUUUGUGGUUCUUAUACUAGCCCUAGCAAACUAAUACAAAGCCUGAGCAGACACAAAUUAUAUUAGCCACAAUAAUUUAGCAAUAUUUUCAGUUUUGCAUUAAUGAAAGUACAGCCCAAUUUGUCCACCCUUUGGAAUUUUGCCAGCACAAACCCUCAUCCCAUCAAAAUCAUCACCAAUUAGGAAGAGAAAACAAAGGGUGGGGGCAAAAGGGGUGUAAACACAUGCUCAUUUUUCUGAAGAGGCUGAAGGAGUGCUUCUUCAUGUAGGCAUAUUUCCAAAGAGGCUGAAGAAAAAAAAUAUGUAUUCAAAAAGAACAUUUACUCCUGUUGUUAAGUCAAUGCCUCACAACAUCACUACAGUAUCAGACACGAAAAUUAGGCCAGAAUUAUGCAGUUGAGUCUAAUGCUGUCUGUUCAGGCUUCAGUGAUAGACAAAAAGAAAUAGUUGCGUUUUGUAUGGUAAUUGGCUGGAGAUGUGCAGUACGCAUUUACAAACCAUGUCAGGACAUUUUUGCAUAUCAGAAAACAAUCUAACACAUUUCAUGAGACACUUGUGCAAUCCAUGAAUUUUAAUUAUCUAUGAAGCCUUGGACAAAGAGUACAAUAUGAAACACUUCAAUAAUAGCAAUAAUAAAUAAUCUUUUUCUUGCCAUUGUUGGUGUCAAUCUCAAAAUUUCAUCUUUAUUAAUAUUACAUCAUUAUUUUAUGGGAAUAAUUACUACUUUGUAGUAUGAGUAAAAUAUGUGCUUAUGGAAAUAUGAGACAAGGGCUGUAUAUUUCUUCUAUUCAGCUGACACAGUGGAAUCCAAUAAAAUAGAGAAUGGAAUGAGACUGAGUAUGAAAGAGAAACACCAAUUUCUUGUUUGUUCUUUUCAAAGUUGUACAAAACCCAAAGGUUUUGUACCAGCCCAAACAACAAUCUCUCCAAACUCGAUCUGGUAGUUUGCCUUCAAGGAACAUGUACUGAAUGAGACACUAGGUUCCACACAGCUGGCCAAGGACUUUGGAAAUCAUUGCUCCUAUUUUUAACCCCACAUUCUUGAGCUGCCCACCCCCACCCUACCCAAUCACACAGCUCAAGAUUCCUUCUGAGCAAUUCGGACUGGACAGAGCAGCACGUGGUAUCCACGCAGCCAGACCCUAGCCAGCCUCACUUCCAAAACCUGUCAGUUAAAACUAAUUUAGGGGUGAAUCACGGGACCUCUGCUCACCACCCAAUCUGUUUAGGAACAUUGCUCUGUCCUUUUAACAGCCAGAGCUGCAGGCAACAUGUACUCUGUUAUGAGAGGGUAAGGAGUGUUCAGCUCACUUAGAAUCUGAUUGGCAGAGCAGCCUUAAUACUUUAUACUAGUUCUUAGAAAUGUUUACGGAACGCAGUGUUUUGCACUGCAGUAUAAAGCACACUAUGUGCAGCCAUACCCUAACCAGUUGUAGAUCUGCUUGGGCAGAGGAAUCUGUUUUCCCAAGAAGGGCAGUCUCUCUCUUUACUCCAAGAACUAUGGAAGAGGCAUUGAAUUUAAAUUAAACAAGAGAGAUUUAAAUCAGAUUUAAAGAGUUUAGGCCACUAAACUAUAAAUUUUUUGAAAAUUUUUUAUUUACUUUAAUUUAAACUCUGAGAUACACGGGCAGAACGUACAGGUUUGUUACAUAGGUAUACAUAUGCCCUGGUGGUUUGCUGCACCUAUGAACCCAUCAUCUAGGUUUUAAGCCCCACCUGGAUUAGGUAUUUGUCCUAAUGCUCUCCCUCCCCUAGCCCCCCAACCCCCGACAGGACCCAGUGUGUGAUGUUCCCCUCCCUGUGACCAUGUGUUCUCACUGUUCAUCUUCCACUGAUGAGUGAGAACAUGCAGUGUUUGGAUUUCAGAGUCUCUUUGUGGAGUUUUAAACAGUGACAAAGAGAUGUAUCUUUCACCCAUUUUGGAAUACCUAAAUUAGUGCAUUUGAGAAGACAAAGAAAAAAUAUAAGACUAAAUGGUAGUGUUUUGUAGUUUUAUGACUCUAUGUUCUUUUCCGUUGUUAUGAAAUUGCUGUUGCUCUUUGGAGGAAGAAAUCAGUUUUUCUAACUCUUGAUGAAUAAAUGCUUCACGUCUCACCCACGCGCACUCUUCCUUUAGGUGGUUUUGCUGUUAAUUCGCUUUAACUACCUCUUUCUUCUGUGUGUUUGGUCUUCUAAAACUGGUUCUGCAUAAUAAAUCCUAAUAGUCCUGUUGUGGAUGAAGAACUAAAUUUAAAAAUGUAACUUCUCACCAAGAUGGCCCUGAAAGUUAAGAAGGAAACCUCUGCUCCUCCCAAAGUCAAGAUAAAGCAAAGUCUUUGAAGGCCAAAAAGGCAGUGCAGAAAAGUAUCCACAACCAUACUCAAAAGAUCCUCACACUACUCCACUUCUGGUGGCCCAAGACUCUGCAGCUUUUAAGGCAGCAAAAUGUCCUUAGAAAAGUACCACCAGGAGAAGCAAGCUUGAUCACUCUGCCAUCAUGUUCCACUUGAAUCAGACAAGAAUAGGGAAGACAAUACAUAUGUGUUCAUUUUAGAUGUCAAAACCAACAUGCACCAGUUCCAAAGGCUGUGAAGAAGCUUCAUGACACUAACAUGGCCAAGAUCAACACACUGAUCAGGCCUGAUGAACAAAAAAAGGCAUGACUAUGAUGCUUUGGAUGUUGCCAACAAAAUUGGGAUCAUCGAAAGAACACUCAGAUGGCUAAUUUUAAAUACAAAAAUUUCAGAUUUCUUUGUGAUUCUGUGAUUAGUUCAGCUUGACAAGAAGAAGAGAGAAAGGAAAAUGGCAUUUCUGUCCUCAUGUUUCUCCUCUUUGUGCAUCUAGAUGAUGAAUGGUGGGUGAAUGGGGGCAAAACGUCUUGGUCAAUAAAAGAAAAUCUGAAAAUCUUCCUGAGGCCAUCUGUGUCUAGUUUUUAAAUUCUUCGCUCAGUGGAAGAGAUUUGAUGAUGAGAAUUCAGAGAUACAAUCCUUUUCUUAUCCUACCUGUGUCAAUAGCUCUUGAUUCAAAUGCUAUUAUUAAAUUAUUUUUUCAUUCAUUCAGCAAAAAUUCAUUGAGCACAUAUUAUGUGCUAGCUUUCACUCUAGCUCCAGGGUUACAGCUCUGAAACACUUGACAAAUGUUUCUACCUUCAUAGACUUCACUUGUACUAAGAAGAGAUGGACAUUAGACAAGUAAAUAAGUGGAUUCAGUAGAAUGUCAGAUGGCUGAAAAUGUUAUGGAGAAAAAUUAAGCAGGAAGGGUCAUGAGGAGUAAGAGGGGAAUGAACAUUGAAGUUUGGCAGGGUGGGCAGGCAGGACUUGGCUGAGAAGAAAAUAUUUGGGUAAAUAUCUAAAGGAGGGGGCAGAGUUGGAUGUGGAUAUUUGCAGGAAGAGCAUUCCAGGCAGAAGAAAUAACAAAUACAAAGCCCUGAACAUGUACCAGACAGAACAUUUGUCAAAGCAUCUCAUCUCUCUUCUACCGUAAAAUAAAAUUCUGCUCUAACAGGGUAGUGAAGAACAUAUUAAUCCUGCACCAAUACUAUUGUUCAUUUAGCUCACAAGUUCAUUACCACAAUUUGAUGGUAUGAACUGCCUUGGAACUUGGUCCAUGUGUUAACAUUCAUCGUAUUUUGUUUUCUUUUUGUUUUUAUUUUGUACUGGUAACACAUAAAUACUUUCUUGUUGAAAAGAUGCAAACAAUAGGCCUGGCGCGGUGGCUCUCGCCUAUAAUCCCAGAACUUUGGGAGGCCGAGUCGGGUGGAUCACGAGGUCAGGAGAUCGAGACCAUCCUGGCUAACACAGGGAAACCCCAUCUCUACUAAAAAUACAAAAAAUUAGCCGGGCGUGGUGGCUGGCGCCUGUAGUUCCAGCUACUCGGAAGGCUGAGGCAGGAGAAUGGUGUGAUCCCAGGAGGCGGAGCUUGCAGUGAACCGCGACCACAACCGUGCACUCCAGCCUGGGCAACAGAGUGAGACUCCAUCUCAAAAAAAAAAAAAAAAAAAAGAUGCAAACAAUACAGAAAUUUAUAGAGUGAAGUGUGAAGGUUACCCCAUCCAACUUCUCUUGCUAUACUUCUUAUCAACCUACCAACGUUCUUACUUCAGAACAAACUACUGUUAAUAGUUUGAUAUACAUUCAUCAGUCAUUUUUUCAUUUAUAUAUGCAUGUAUAUGAAGACGUAGUUUUUUUCAUAAAUGGGAUCAUACUUUACACGUUUUUUUGACAACUUGCUCUUCUUAACAAUGUGGAAGAUUUAUCUGAGUUAAUAGAGAAAGGUCUGUUAUAUUCUAUAAUAAAAGUGGAGUAUUUCUUGGUACAGAUUUGCCACACAUUAUUCACACUCCCUAUUGAAGGGUUGUUUUUAUUUUUUAAAUCUGAAUCUCUUUGUAUGAAACUUAUGGUGAAAAUAUGUAAAUGUUUCUCUAAGAUAGACAUCCAGAAUUUUGAGUAGAUGGAUAUAUGUGAGGUUUGUUAUUUACUUUUUUGUAAUGGUGAUAUACAGAGGUAUGAUCCACAUACCAUACAAUUUACCCAAAGUAUAAAAUGUAAUGAUUUUAGUAUAUUCGGAAUUGUGCAAUCAAUAAAUUUUAGAACAUUUUUAUUACCCCCCCAAAACACACAAACCAUCUAAGCCAUCACUCCUCAAUCUUCUCCUCCCUUUCGGGGAAACCCCUAAUCUACUUCUGUCUCUAUAGCUUUACUUCUUAUGGAUAUUCCAUAUAAAUGGAAUCAGAAAAUUUUUGGUUUUGUGUCUGCCUUUUUUCACUUAGCAUAAUGUUUCUAAGGUUUAUUCACAUUGUGGCAUGCAUCAGCACUUCGUUUCUUUUAACUGCAUAAUAAUAUUCAUUUGUAUGAAUAUACAUUUUAUUUAUCCAUUUAUUGGUUGAUGGAUAUUUGGGUUGCUUACAUCUCUGAGCACUUAUGAAUAACGCUGCUAUGAAUAUUAAUGCACAAAUUUUUAUGUAAACUUAUAUUUUUCAUUCUCUUGGGUGUAUACCUAGGAGUGGAAUUCUUGUGUCAAAUGGUAACUCUCUACAUUGAGCAAAAGAGAACCUACGUUCCUUCACAAAGGACGUUCAUGCUUUAAUUUAUAAAGAUCUUUCAUUUCAAACUCUGGAUGCUGAAGCAAAAGUGGCAUUGGAAAUAUUUCAACACAAGUACAAAACAGAUUUCACAGAAAAGAAGGCAUCUCAGAACCCUGAGAGAAUAGUCAAGCUACACAGAAUAGGUAAUUUCAUUGAUGUGAGUGAGGGCCCUCUGAUUCCAAGAACAAGUAUUUGCUUCCAGUAUGAAGUGUCAGCAGUUCACAAUCUUCAACCUAACCAGCCAAGUCUUAUAUGAAGAUUCCAGGGUCUGUCUUUACCCAUUCACUUAAGAGCACGUUUUACGAUAUGGGAUAAGCUAUUGGAAAGAUCUCAUAAAAUGGUAACUGAAGAUCAAACUAAACUGAUAAAGCAAAGUGCAUCUGCCUAAUAACUUUCCAAAAUUUAAAUAUAUAUAGUAAAUUAAAUGUUUUUAAUAUUUCAAAAACAUUUUAAGGACUGGCAGACUGUUUUCUAAAAUGGCUACACCACUUUAAAAUCCCACCAGCAGUGUAUGAAGGUUGCAAUUUCUCCAUAUUUUUGUCAGCACUUGGUAUUAUCUGUCGUUUUGAUUGUAGCCAUUCUAAUGUGUGACAAGUAGCAUCACAUUGGAGUUUGAUUUUCAUUAUCCUGAAGAAUAAUGAUGUUGAGUAUCUUUUAAUGUAUUUGUGGGCCAUUUUUAUAUAUUCUUUGCAGAAAUGUCUAGUCAGAUUCUUUGCCGAUUUUACAUUCUGUGUUCAAUGGUCUUGGCAUGCUGGUCUAAAGUCAGUUGUCCACAAAUGCAAGAAUUUAUUUCUGGAUUCUCUGUUCUAUUCCAUUGACCUUUAUAUGUAUUCUUAUGCUGGUAUGACACUGUCUUGCUUAUAUUUGCUUUGUAGUAAGUUUUGAAAUAAAGAAGUGUGAAUCCUCCAACUUUGUUCUUUUCCAAGAUCAUGUUGGCCGUUUUGGGUCUCUUCCAUUUUCAUAUUAAUUUUAAAAUCAGCUAGUCAAAUUCUGCAAAAAAGCGAGCUGGGGUUUUGGGAGGGGUUGCAUUCAAUCUGUACAACAAUGUAGAGAGUAUUGCCAUCUUAAUAGCAUUCUCUUCCAAUUCGUGGUCAUGGCAUGU
Long non-coding RNA from Pan troglodytes (chimpanzee), 8614 nucleotides. RefSeq lists it as uncharacterized. The record is from RefSeq and is a predicted model, not a curated record. The transcript has 4 exons. Lineage: Eukaryota; Metazoa; Chordata; Mammalia; Primates; Hominidae.